GACCUCAGAUCAGGCGAGACCACCCGCCGAAUUUAAGCAUAUCAAUAAGCGGAGG
RNAcentral lists this ribosomal RNA (55 nucleotides) under Zoanthus kuroshio. RNAcentral's name for it is "partial 28S ribosomal RNA". Lineage: Eukaryota; Metazoa; Cnidaria; Anthozoa; Zoantharia; Zoanthidae. The record is from RNAcentral.